UGAUUUUAUCGCUUUUUAUUUUUUUUUGUUGCAUUUUCAUUGUUACAGUUUUGUUUUUAGAGGAAAAAUGGUCAUUUUGAACUGGACGAAGUAAGAAAUGGUGGUCGAGAAGUUGAUGAUGCUCCUCUCGAUGAUUUAGAAGAUGAUGAUGAAGAACCGUCAUCGAAGAAACUGAUGAAUCGUGACGAGAAAGUGACGCUCGUAGGGUCAAAUGGUCCAACGGUAAUUCGCCCUUCAUCUUGGAUCGGAAAUUUUCGAUAUCAACAAAGUUUCCUGAAAAGCUGAAAGAUCAGAGUUUUACCCAAUAUUGGUAAAGAUCCUGAUUGAUUUGAACAAGACAAAUGAAGAAAUAGUUAAUUUUCAACUUAAAUUGACAAACAAUCAAGAAAAAUCAAUGGGUUUCAAUGUUUUCUUCUAAAUAAUUAAUUUUUCAUUAGAAUAAAAAUGUAUUAAUUAACAAAAGACACAAACAAUUAGCAAAAAAAGAGAAUCGUUUUUGAGUUUAUUGUUUAUCGCUAAAAAGAAAAUGCAAUUUAGAUGAUUAAUUAAUCAUCAUGUUGGUGAGCUCUAUUGAAAUCUUGUUAAUCCCAACUGUUCAUUUCCAUAAUUAAUCCUAAUAAAAAAACUUGUAAUUUAGUGAACAACUUGGUCUCCGGUGGUUCAUCGUUUAUCGUUUCCAUUUUGAAGGAUUUUAUGGGAAUUAUUGUGUUCGGUCUCUGCGAAGUCAAGA
Long non-coding RNA from Panonychus citri (citrus red mite), 730 nucleotides. RefSeq lists it as uncharacterized. Lineage: Eukaryota; Metazoa; Arthropoda; Arachnida; Trombidiformes; Tetranychidae. The transcript has 2 exons. The record is from RefSeq and is a predicted model, not a curated record.